Molecule: long non-coding RNA, 2324 nt
Filed under: Chlamydomonas reinhardtii
Lineage: Eukaryota; Viridiplantae; Chlorophyta; Chlorophyceae; Chlamydomonadales; Chlamydomonadaceae
Description: long non-coding RNA (CREI_LNC000674)
Source: RNAcentral
GGGGGGGCAGUGGGCUUUGUGCAGCGGCUCGCAGCCUGUCUCCACCACGGCUUGGUCAGGCCUUGAGCGUCAGCCUGCCGCACCUACGCCAGAGGCGAUUCAGCGGACUGGGCUAUGGGAGGCAGUGAGCGGAGCCAGGAGCCGCCAUGGCCAUGCAUUGCCCCCAGCGGAAGGGCCGGGACAGCCGGCGCCUUGAGGAGUGUCAGCAUUUAGUAGGAGUAGCGAACGUACGGCUGUGGGGGCAGGUGGGAUUAGGCAGAGCAUGUUAGUUCAGGAGUAGGUAGGGUGCAGGCCCAAACCGCGGGACCAUAUGCGUGCGAAGUUAUGUGUGAGGCCCAACUACGGGACCUAAUGCGUGCCGUCGGUUGGCUGCGUGCGUGUGCUCGUGCCCUUGCUGUGCGUGCUGCCACCGGUCACUCGUACAACCAUGCCGUCGUUAGAACCCCGGACAUGUUUGUGGGGGGGACUUCAGCCCCCGGUGGCAGCCCUAGAGCAAAACAUGGCUGGGGCGUGACAGCUGUCGUGCGCCGUUGCCGGCGUGUGUCAUUCACCGGCAACCAGUGCCUGGGUAUGAGUCAUGAGGCGGUUAACAGUGUGUGAACUUGGGAGCGGGAAGUUACCCCAGCGGUUGAGAACUGGCGAGCUGUGGGUGGGUUGUGCGAACUACGUCUCGAUGUGUGGCUAGGGGUUUGGCGUCUGUGGUUUAGUUGUAGCCGUGUGACGGUGGUGUUUCUCUGGCUCUGGCGUCACCUUCGCCUGCACUGCGCAGGGCGAAGGCUCAUGGGCUCGUGUUGGGAGGCGUUGGGCAGCUGGUCAUGCGGGCGCUGAGCUGAGGAGGAGCUGCGUUGGGGGUCUGUUUGCCGUGGUGCUUUAUAAGAGUGUGCUCAGGGGAGCUUGGGGUCCAGGUUUCGUAGACGGGCGGUUGGCUUGCCCUGCUGGGAGGCGAGCGUAGGGUGUCGGGCAGGGGGCCGCCCAUGCUGGAGGCGGUGGCUCCCUAGUCCCGCAACACCGGCCCUGGCCCGGUGUUGCGGUGUUGCUCUCUCUCACACGACCUAUCGUGCGUAGCUUUGUGAAAGCAUCGGAGUGAUCAACCGACUGCUGCCUCAGACUCAACACCUGGGGCCGGGCUGCGGAGCGCGUUCACGCAACCAAACUCAACCACGGGGCAUCAGUUACCAGCCGCUCGCACGCAGCCGCUGUAGCUAGCUCAAUUAAGGCCCGCUCGGCUUAGUCCACCGAGCGCCCAGCCAGCUGGGAAAGACCGCCCUCGCCCCCGGAGUCGCCAUCGACAGCUGACGAGCAGUCGACCGUCCGCCCUCUGGCCCUAGCGAGUGGCCGUCGCCAAAGCGCCUUCGGCGGCAGCAAUGCUGCGGCCGGCGCGCCCCAUUCCCUCGUGGAGUCAGACCGGGCGGCAACAGUACGACGGCGAGCGCGCCGGGCGGGCCAGGUUCAUGGUGGACGCGCACGGCUACACUGAGGAGCAGGCGGCGUGCGCCGACAUCAACAGCCCCUAUGCGCAGGACCCGCGCCUAAUCGCCCGCGCCCUCAUCCACGGCGCGUCUGUCCCCGAGUCGCGGGCCCGGGUGUGGAACAACGGGGAGCUCGAUGGUGGCCAGCGCACGCUUGCGCGGCAUCGCGGCCGCUGGGCUGGCAGGCACGGCGGCUGGAGAGGCUGGCGCCGCGGCCGCAGCGCCCCAGUACGGGGCCGCCGGCCGCCGCGAGCGGCGCGGUGUGCCGGCCGCGGCGGCUGAGAGCGAGGAGCUGGGCCGCCUGCUGUUCCCCCGAGCCCGCACCCGGCGGCUUGACGAGACCGCCUCCGAUCUGGGGGGGCGGCGCGUGCGCAGGGCUGAGGAGGGACCGGACGGAGUGCUGGAGUACCUGGGCGCGCUGGCGCGGCCGCGGUACUUCCGCGUGCAGUGGAGUGACGGCGAGGAGCAGCAGCUGACGCUGGCGGAGGCGCGUCGGUUGCUCGCAGACUAGGUUGGCGGGGAGUGAGGAGGGUCGGGCAGGGGGCUAUUCAGAGGUUCACGAGGGAGAGGGCUAGGGGGGCGAGCGCUGGGGGGGGCAGUGGGCUUUGUGCAGCGGCUCGCAGCCUGUCUCCACCACGGCUUGGUCAGGCCUUGAGCGUCAGCCUGCCGCACCUACGCCAGAGGCGAUUCAGCGGACUGGGCUAUGGGAGGCAGUGAGCGGAGCCAGGAGCCGCCAUGGCCAUGCAUUGCCCCCAGCGGAAGGGCCGGGACAGCCGGCGCCUUGAGGAGUGUCAGCAUUUAGUAGGAGUAGCGAACGUACGGCUGUGGGGGCAGGUGGGAUUAGGCAGAGCAUGU